RNAcentral lists this long non-coding RNA (1859 nucleotides) under Gossypium barbadense (sea-island cotton). RNAcentral's name for it is "long non-coding RNA (GBAR_LNC017344)". The record is from RNAcentral. Lineage: Eukaryota; Viridiplantae; Streptophyta; Magnoliopsida; Malvales; Malvaceae.
ACAAUUUGGUUCUCCCAUAAAAAAUUCACCAUUUUCACUUAGAAAUCAAAGAAAUUUUCAUAGCCACCAAGAGAGAAAAUUGAUAAAGAGACUAGGGGGAGCUAGAAUAUCAAGUUAGAUUCAAGAAAUAGAAGCUGGAGGAGGGAGAAAAUCAAGUUAAAGAUUGAAAUCAAUGGCAUAAGGUAAGAACAUCAAGAUUUUUAUAUACUUUUGAGUUUGAUAUUAUUGAAAAAGUAGGAAAUUAAUGUUAAGGUAGAGUUUCAUUAUAUAAGGUUCUAUAUUCUUGUUAUGCUAAAAAAGGAAAAUAAGAGAAAGUGAUGGAAAAUGUUGAAGACAAAGGAAAGGAAAGUGUUAUAAAUUUAGUUAUCAACAUUUUACACUAAAACAGUUUCGAGACAGCAGCAGUAGUCUGACUUUGAAAAUCUACCGAAAAUCGUAUAAAUUUAAUUAGAGGAUGAAAAAAAUAUUAAAUUAAAUCUUAUUGGGUCUAGUUUCUCAUAGAAGAAACGCUGUAAGCAAUGGAAUUGUAAAUUAUGAGAUAUAGUAGGUUUUGUGAGAUAAGGUCAGAAUGAUUUCGGGUUCCCCUGUACUGACUUUGGAAAAUCAUAAAAAAUUGGAGAAAAAUAAUUAGAGGCUUAAAUUUAUAUGUUUAAAUCCUUAAUUAGUCUAUUUUCAAUAGAAAUAAACGGAAACAUCAUUAGAAUUCUGUACGAUGAGAUAAUUAAUUUUUAGUGAAGAAGGGUCAGAACUGUUAGACAGCAGAAUAGGGAUGACUUUAAAGAAUAAACUGUAUUUAUUGGAUAAACCAAAAAUUCUGAAAAUUUUAUGGUAAGAACAUAUGUGAGUCUAGUUUCAGAUAAAAUUCACAGAUCUUAAUUUGGAGUUCUGUAUCUCUAGAUAUAAAUAAUUUAGUGACUACGACUCAAGUGGACAACUUUGAAUGAAUAUAUAUAAGUAAAUGGUGAAAUUAUAGAUAAUGUUACUUAUAAGCAUGUUAUAUACAUUAAGGAUGUGGAAUGGAGAGGAGGAGGGGGAAAAUAUAUGAUUAUUUAACUAGCAUGAGUUUUCAUUAAAAAUGACCAAUUUACAUGUUUUAGGUUCAUGGACUAAAUUGAACAAAUGUGAAACUUUAAGAGUAAAUUUGUAAAAACGUCAAAAAGUGACCAAAUUGCAUGAAACGGAUUGGUUAUUUAUCUAAAUUACAAAAUUGAAUGAAAUUUAGAACAAUAUUGGGUGGAAAUUUGAGAAAAAUAGAAAAUUUCCAAAAUAUCCCUAAAUUUUGAUAUUUCUGCAAUUUAGUCUAGUGAGCUCGUAUGAGCUAUAUUCUAUAUAAUUUUAAUUGAAGUGAAUGCUAUUUGGUAAUGAAUAUUAUAUAUAUGUGUGUUUUAUUAUUGGUAAUAUGUAUAAUUAUUUGAUGCAUUUAAAUGAUUAUCGGAAGCUCAAUUGAGUUGGAAGCUUGUUGGAGAUAUAUCACAGUAUCCAUUUGUUCUAUCGGUAAUUUUGGAUGAUUUGAUUCUUGUUAUAAUGGUGUGUAUAAGUUAAAUUGGUUAUGAAUAUGAAUGUUAGAUAAAAAUGGAAUGUCUGAAAAUUAAUUAGUAAACUCCGGUAAUGCCUCAUACCCUAUUUCGGUGUCGAAUACGGGUAAGGGGUGUUACAGCUACCCUCUGCAUUAUAUGCCUGUUUAGGACAUAUUAAACACAUGCACUAACUGAUUGGUGGGGAUCUAGCAAUCGCUAAAGCAAAGCAGAGCAAAGCAACAGAGACACAAAGCAGAGCAAAUCAGUAAAGCAAAAGCGGCAUAACAAAAAAAAGGAACACUAAUUCUGAAAGAAUUACAACACAAGUUCGGACAUGACAAC